RNAcentral lists this ribosomal RNA (1892 nucleotides) under Orbilia angustoaristata. RNAcentral describes it as "eukaryotic LSU rRNA". The stretch from base 962 to 1892 matches the Rfam family "Eukaryotic large subunit ribosomal RNA", at positions 1 to 953 of the family's 3401-position model. The record is from RNAcentral. Lineage: Eukaryota; Fungi; Ascomycota; Orbiliomycetes; Orbiliales; Orbiliaceae.
AACGAGAUCCCUUCCAUAGGUGACGCUCACGAGAAGCCUUUGUGGCCCCGCAAGGGGUAUCCGCCGCGACUGUAAACAAGAAUGUUGGAUAUUAAAUCGCAAGUCGGUCACAGAAGACCGGCCACACUUUCGAAUUGCGGGGACACCCUAAAGCCAGCCUCUACCAAACCAGCCAGGAAACUGAGCUGGUGGCCUGUGCCAACCGCACGGGGUAAGGUAAGAACGAGGCAGGAUGAGUGACAAUGGGCCAUCCGCAGCCAAGUCCCUAAGGCGCCAGCUAUGGGAAAGGUUCACAGACUAGGUGGAAGUGGGCUGCAGGCGCUUGACGCCGAAGCUUAAGAUAUAGUCGGGCUCUGCGGGAAACCGCUGAGGAGUCACUUGUAACGAGUAACCAAACUGUUCCGUAGGUGAACCUGCGGAAGGAUCAUUAAAAAGGUCUCUGACCAAACCCUUUGGUCCGGUUCGCCGGUCAAAGUUCAACCAUGUGGAUUACCACUUUUUGCUUCGGCAGCAGGCCUCUGGCUACCCGCCUCCGGCCGUCAGCCUGCCGGCGGCACCCUCAAUUCAAACCUGUUUGACCAAAACCUGUCUGAACUGAAUGAUUUCUUGAAUGAGAAUCAAAACUUUCAACAACGGAUCUCUUGGUUCUCGCAUCGAUGAAGAACGCAGCGAAACGCGAUAGUUAAUGUGAAUUGCAGAAUUCAGUGAAUCAUCGAGUCUUUGAACGCACAUUGCGCCCCUCGGUAUUCCGGCGGGCAUGUCUGUUUGAGCGUCAUUACAACCACUCGGUUGGCCAUUUGGCCGCACCGGUUGUGAGCCGGCCGACCCUUUCACGGGGACCGUCCGGCUUUAAACUCCAGCGCUCUGCGAGUGAAUGUACCGGAAGAACAUAGUAGAUUAGCUUCAACUGUUCAACCUUUGGAUUCGUCACUUCGCCUGAACAAAACCGCAUCAUAAGGUUUGACCUCAGAUCAGACAAGGAUACCCGCUGAACUUAAGCAUAUCAAUAAGCGGAGGAAAAGAAACCAACCGGGAUUGCCUCAGUAACGGCGAGUGAAGCGGCAAGAGCUCAAAUUUGAAAUCUGGGGUCUUCGGCCUCCGAGUUGUAAUUUGAAGAGGAUGCCUCGGUUGCAGUCCCGGCCUAAGUUCCUUGGAACAGGACGUCGCAGAGGGUGAGAAUCCCGUACGCGGCUGCGGACUUGCUUCCAUGUGUGGCUCCCUCGAAGAGUCGAGUUGUUUGGGAAUGCAGCUCAAAAUGGGUGGUAAGUUUCAUCUAAGGCUAAAUACUGGCGAGAGACCGAUAGCGCACAAGUAGAGUGAUCGAAAGAUGAAAAGCACUUUGAAAAGGGAGUUAAACAGUACGUGAAAUUGUUGAAAGGGAAGCGCUUGCAAUCAGACUUGCGCGCGGUUGAUCAACGUUCCUUCUGGUUCGUGCACUCUGCCGUGCGCAGGCCAGCAUCGGUUGGAGCGGCGGGACAAAGGCUCCGGGAAUGUGGCUCUCUUCGGGGAGUGUUAUAGCCCGGCGCGUAAUGCCGCCUGCACCGACCGAGGUCCGCGCUCACGCUAGGAUGCUGGCUUAAUGGUUGUAAGCGACCCGUCUUGAAACACGGACCAAGGAGUCUAACAUCUACGCGAGUGUUUGGGCGUCAAACCCAUGCGCGCAAUGAAAGUGAACGGAGGUGGGAGCUUCGGCGCACCAUCGACCGAUCCUGAUGUCCUCGGAUGGAUUUGAGUAGGAGCGUAGCUGUUGGGACCCGAAAGAUGGUGAACUAUGCCUGAAUAGGGUGAAGCCAGAGGAAACUCUGGUGGAGGCUCGCAGCGGUUCUGACGUGCAAAUCGAUCGUCAAAUUUGGGUAUAGGGGCGAAAGACUAAUCGAACCAUCUAGUAGCUG